Molecule: ribosomal RNA, 253 nt
Filed under: uncultured bacterium
Lineage: Bacteria
Description: partial 16S ribosomal RNA
Rfam family: Bacterial small subunit ribosomal RNA
Source: RNAcentral
UACGGGGGGGGCAAGCGUUGUUCGGAAUUACUGGGCGUAAAGGGCGCGUAGGCGGCUCGCUAAGUCGGAUGUGAAAACUCUGGGCUCAACCCAGAGCCUGCAUUCGAAACUGGGGAGCUCGAGUUCUGGAGGGGAAAGCGGAAUUCCUGGUGUAGCGGUGAAAUGCGUAGAUAUCAGGAGGAACACCGGUGGCGAAGGCGGCUUUCUGGACAGAAACUGACGCUGAUGCGCGAAAGCUAGGGGAGCAAACAGG